This 3354-nucleotide unclassified non-coding RNA is filed under the name Amphibalanus amphitrite. RNAcentral's name for it is "nEDD4-binding protein 1-like, transcript variant X1". The record is from RNAcentral. Lineage: Eukaryota; Metazoa; Arthropoda; Thecostraca; Balanomorpha; Balanidae.
UAAUUCGUAAAUCGUAAUACGAAGUUGUAAUUUGUAAUACUUCAAACACUCAAUAUCCUCCUCGCCUCCUCUGUGUUUAUCUCAUCCAGUUUUGCUUCGUGAGUCAAGCGCAGUCGCCAUGAAGGCGCGGAGGAGCUCGGGCCUGCGGUACCGACCGUACGCCCGCAGUACGUCCAUCCACCACUCGGACCCGGAGGUCAUCUGCGACGACGACGAGCUGGACGACACGAUCGUGGUGGUGUACGACCGGCGGCGCCACCAGGCCGCGCCGGCCGCCCCCGCCAGGGGCCCCGCCGCCGGUCGGAAGGAUGGCGGAGCGGGCGCGGCGGCGGCGGCUUCUUCAGGGACUCCUGCCUCCGCGGCGCCGCCGCCGGCGGGCGGGACGGCCACCAAGUCGCAGCUGGAGUUCUCCCCGUGGCGGGUGUCGCGGAUCCCACUACCGGCCGACCCCAACACUCCGGACCACUCCAAGACGCUGUGCGCCAGCCCCGCCGACGCCGCCACCUCGGGACACAAGGCGGCCGCUGAGCUGACCGUUGACGAACUAUUCAGUCCCUUCUCGGGAUCCCCGGUCGUGCGGAACACUGACACAGGCACGGUGAAGAAGUGGAAGCGGAAUCGUCGGAAAUCUCGCCGCGGGAAGGGUCCGAUCACCUCGACGCCGGCUCCGGGCGCUCCUGGCGGCGCUCGCGGCGGCACGGGCUCGGCGCCGGCCACACCGGCCCUCCGCCCGCCGGACGUCAGUGAGGUGCGUGAUGUCACACCCUUUGUGAUCACACUAGACGAAGAUCCUACUGUAUUAGAAGUAACGGAAGUACGCCGUGUGGUGCGGCAGACCACGCCCUCCGAGAAACGGACGGUCAGGACGGACCUGAGCGCGGAUGUGAUGCUGCUCGACACCUCCUCUGAGAGGACGCCGGCACGCCGCUUGAAGGCCGCCAAUCUGUCCAAGAUGCGGCCGGGGCGAGUGGGUACCAGAUCGCCGGGGGGACGGGUGACCAAGAAGUCUCCAGCACAGCCUGCCAGAAAGUCUCCAGCACAGCCUGUCAGAAAGUCUCCAGCAAAGAAGUCUCCUGCGGCCAAGGGCAAGACGGCGGCUGGUACGGCCGCCCCGGCCGCUGACCUCGAGAGCUCCCUGGAGGAGGGCGAGCUGUCCCGCACCCGCCACUCCUCCAAUGACAUCACGGUCGUGCAGGUGAAGCCGCUGCGCCGCACCAGCAGCACGCAGCGGCGCCUCCAGGCCGUGAAGAAGAUGGCGGUCCGCACGCUCAGCCGGUCGCAAGUCAAGACGCCGAGCAGGCCGGGAAAGUCGGGCAGGUCGCAACGGUCGAAAAGGUCCGACAGGCCAAGGGAUCACCGCAGUCAGCGAAACCUGAAGGGACCGAAUGAGCGGGGGCCAACACGCUGGAUGGUGGACCGGCGUGGCAGCAGGUUCGCCGCUCCUCUUGGAGCCACCUCCGACCAGCCCAUCAAGUUCGCGCCCGACUUUUCCGAGUCGUUCGCGCGUAUGGUGUCGGAGCGGCCGAAGCGACCCGUCAUUAUCGACGGACCCAACGUGGCCUACGCCCACGGCCGGAACAAAGUCUGCUCGUUCCGCGGCAUCAAGAUCGUGCUCGACUACUUUAAGAACCUGGGCCACCGGUGCACCGUCUUCAUCCCGAGCACUUUCAUCAACCGUGCCCGGACCCAGGAGAAUGAGAAGCUGCUGGAGGAUCUCUACCAGACGGGCGAGCUGGCCUACACACCCAGUCGCUACAUCCGUGGGCGGCUCGUCACCAGCUACGAUGACAGGUACGUGGUGAUGUACGCCACGCGCGUGGGGGGUGUCAUCAUCUCCCGCGACCUCUACCGCGACGUGGCGCAGGAGCGGCCCGACUGGGGCGACACCAUCGAUAACAGGCUGCUGAUCCCCACGUUUGUGGGCGACCAGCUGCUGCUGCCGCCGGACCCGCUCGGCCGAGACGGGCCUGGCCUGCUGGAGUUCCUGAGGUUCCCGCCGGGCAGCUGUCAGCUGCUCGGUGACCAGCCGGCGCCCUGGGCCCAGCCGUGACGGCUAGCCGUGACAGUCGCCGUGACGGUCGCCGUGACGAUCACCGUGACGAGGUGAGGUACAACUAACGCCCCGUGACGCACAGCGGCCGCCGAGAGUCAGAGCUCAAGUGAUCUGUUCGCAGAAGUAGUGACUGAAAUGUGAACGCUACGGUGUGGUGCUCCGAUAAGGGAGGCUCGGGAGGAUCUUGUGUGGAAGACGGGCUGUGAGUGCGCUUACAGACUUCAGAGACUGACAAAGGCGAGACGAGCUACUUCUAAAGACAGUGGCGAGGUAGGGCCUGUGAUUCCUGGUUUGUCUGAAUGAAGUGCGUUUGUGAAGUUGACAAGAUCGACUGGCAGGUGGCUCAUGGGUAUGGAACGUCGCGUAUGGCUGUCACUGCCAUUGUGUGGUUUGGGUGUCCGUUCAGCGGACUGUUACUGCCAGGGACGGUCUGUGACCACUUUCAUCGCCGUAUGACCACUUGGGGACGGCGGCUGCUACAUCAGACACUAGCAACUAGUGCGCCUUUUCCGAUAAGUCAGACAAUAACAAGUAGGUCGCUCAUGUGAUCGGUUUGUUCAUGCAUAAUUACUGAUACAUCAUACGCGUCCCGAAUGUGUCAGUAUAUUCCCGAUAGGUUUCUGUAGUACUGACGGAAGACGAACCACAACAGACGCAACCGAGGGUUGUCGUGUCGCGCCAUGCAGCGGCGGGAGGCUUCCUGCUCGCUGGCGGCUCCAUGUCAGAUAGGGACUCAGUUGAUUGGGGUCCAUCCUGUGCGCUGAGUGCUCAGCUACGGGGUGGUUAUUUGAGAAGGAAAUAAAGUAACACGUGGUUGCCGCGAUUUAUUUACUCUUCUGAGUGUUAAUAAAUAGUGUUAAUCACACGUUAUUUUAUUUCAUUCACAAAUGAUCACCAUGUAGAUAUUGAUAUGAGUGAGUGAUUCUUUGUUAGGACGGCGAGUCUUCACCCGCAGUGAACAAUGAGAGUGUCUUGAGCUGAUGAGCUGAGCAGUAUUGGCACAAAAGCUGCCAGCAAUGACCCAGCUCCAAAACCACAGUGCAAAGUACAAGCUAAUUGUCCGAUUGCUUGCAUUGUUUGAUGUGGGACCGAGUUUUGUAGUUUUGCUUCGUGGUGUUCCCUGGGAGGGGUUUGUGUUUCAAGGAACUGACUGAUGUGUGGUAAUUGCUUAGCCAUUGGUCGUGAGUCUGAGUUGUUAGUCUGUCUCUGCGCUCACAAAAAUGUGCCUUACAUACAGUUUUUUCAUUGCUGCUCCGCCGUUUUGAAAAAUAUUUCAAUAAACUGUUUUCGUAUUUUGUUGA